UACGAAGGGGGCUAGCGUUGCUCGGAAUCACUGGGCGUAAAGGGCGCGUAGGCGGCGCGGAAAGUCGUCGGUGAAAGCUCGGGGCUCAACCCUGAGUCUGCCGGUGAUACUCCCGCGCUCGAGCUCACUAGAGGCAGAUGGAAUUCCUGGUGUAGCGGUGAAAUGCGCAGAUAUCAGGAGGAACACCGGUGGCGAAGGCGGUUCUCUGGGCCUUACCUGACGCUGAGGAGCGAAAGCGUGGGGAGCGAACAGG
This 253-nucleotide ribosomal RNA is filed under the name uncultured bacterium. Its description in RNAcentral is "partial 16S ribosomal RNA". It matches the Rfam family "Bacterial small subunit ribosomal RNA", at positions 524 to 776 of the family's 1533-position model. The record is from RNAcentral.